CCUACGGGGCGCAGCAGUGGGGAAUCUUGGACAAUGGGCGAAAGCCUGAUCCAGCCAUGCCGCGUGUGUGAAGAAGGCCUUCGGGUUGUAAAGCACUUUCAGUGGGGAAGAAAGCCUUGGGGCUAAUACCCUCGAGGAAGGACAUCACCCACAGAAGAAGCACCGGCUAACUCCGUGCCAGCAGCCGCGGUAAUACGGAGGGUGCGAGCGUUAAUCGGAAUUACUGGGCGUAAAGCGCGCGUAGGCGGUCUGAUAAGCCGGUUGUGAAAGCCCCGGGCUCAACCUGGGAACGGCAUCCGGAACUGUCAGGCUAGAGUGCAGGAGAGGAAGGUAGAAUUCCCGGUGUAGCGGUGAAAUGCGUAGAGAUCGGGAGGAAUACCAGUGGCGAAGGCGGCCUUCUGGACUGACACUGACGCUGAGGUGCGAAAGCGUGGGUAGCAAACAGGAUUAGAUACCCGAGUAGUC
RNAcentral lists this ribosomal RNA (465 nucleotides) under Vreelandella stevensii. Its description in RNAcentral is "partial 16S ribosomal RNA". It matches the Rfam family "Bacterial small subunit ribosomal RNA", at positions 338 to 795 of the family's 1533-position model. Lineage: Bacteria; Pseudomonadati; Pseudomonadota; Gammaproteobacteria; Oceanospirillales; Halomonadaceae. The record is from RNAcentral.